GCCUCCGUAGAUUAGCGGUAAAUCGCCCUGUCAUUCUGAUCUUUCUCGUCAACCAUAACAGGGAGCUGUGGGUUCAAACCCCACCGGAGGCA
Molecule: non-coding RNA, 92 nt
Organism: Mycena leptocephala
Lineage: Eukaryota; Fungi; Basidiomycota; Agaricomycetes; Agaricales; Mycenaceae
Source: the annotation of a GenBank genome assembly